UGGGGAAUAUUGGACAAUGGGCGCAAGCCUGAUCCAGCCAUACCGCGUGGGUGAAGAAGGCCUUCGGGUUGUAAAGCCCUUUUGUUGGGGAAGAAAAGCAGCGGGCUAAUACCUUGCUGUUCUGACGGUACCCAAAGAAUAAGCACCGGCUAACUUCGUGCCAGCAGCCGCGGUAAUACGAAGGGUGCAAGCGUUACUCGGAAUUACUGGGCGUAAAGCGUGCGUAGGUGGUUGUUUAAGUCUGUUGUGAAAGCCCUGGGCUCAACCUGGGAACUGCAGUGGAAACUGGAUGACUAGAGUGUGGUAGAGGGUAGCGGAAUUCCCGGUGUAGCAGUGAAAUGCGUAGAGAUCGGGAGGAACAUCCAUGGCGAAGGCAGCUACCUGG
Molecule: ribosomal RNA, 385 nt
Filed under: uncultured bacterium
Lineage: Bacteria
Description: bacterial SSU rRNA
Rfam family: Bacterial small subunit ribosomal RNA
Source: RNAcentral